Molecule: long non-coding RNA, 1320 nt
Organism: Plutella xylostella (diamondback moth)
Lineage: Eukaryota; Metazoa; Arthropoda; Insecta; Lepidoptera; Plutellidae
Source: RefSeq, a predicted model, not a curated record
UUUGUAACACCAUUAUUUUUGUAACUUAACAUUUCGUUUAUUGUUUACAUUCUGUUUGUUUACUUUGUUAGUCUUGUCAAGUAUCAGCUGUCAAAUUCGACACACAGGAUAGAUUUUCAGUUGUUGUCUGUGGUCCUUUCAGAAACUCGUGCUAGAUCGUCAUCGGACAGUGGUCAGUGGCGACAUGACGCUCAGAACAAUGAUCGUGCUGACUGGCCACAGAGUAGUUUUGUGACGAUGAGCUGACAUCCCCGGUGACGGCUUUUUUCGGAACUGGCAAGGAGGCAAACCAUUCUCUGUCAGAACAUCUCGAGUAAAUGUGUGGUUAGAUUUUUCUUCCCGCCCGCGUGGCGCAGGCCGUAUUGGUAUCAAGUUCCUUGCUUCAUAUUUCCUGGUGAGUAUUUCGAUCGUGGGUUCAGGUUAUCUGAUUGGUCUACGAGAUAGAUUCUGACUAAGUUGUUUCUUUGCAGUUACCAGAUACGUGCCACAGACACCCACGCAGCAUCACACCAUGUGUAUCUAACCUGAAUUGCCGAGUGAGUAAACUAGCAUUUCGUUGUUAUUCGAUUUCCGAUGACUUUGGAUUUCGAAAGCCAUCUGCCUUGUCUUUAUUUCUACACGUAGCAACGUCUAACCCCGCGUAUUUCUUUUACAGCAAUUUCAAUCCUGCCCGGUGAAGCGUGCGAUUGCCAGACGCGUGUCACCUGACCCAACCCCAAGAAGGUGUCGUUGGUGACCAGAGCCGUCAGCGAGCCACGAGCCGUCCGGAGCUCCUGUCCUGGCCCCGUCCGACAGUCCAGGUUGGCCGUUGUAUGUUCGUUGAGCGGAUACUGAGGAAUUUCCUUAGGAUUUCUAUUAAUCUUCGGCGGCAUCAGCCUUCUAACGCCGCUGCUGAAUGUAGGAUUGCAAAGGCAGAACCCGGGUGGACUCUAGCGGGUUAAAACCUUUAUUUUAUUUUUUUUACUUCGUAGGGAGCCCCGUUAGAACGGGCAGUAGUAUCUAAAUUGCACUUUGAACCUUUUGUAGGCGCUAGGCUAUCAACGUCCUUCGGUUACGGGGCCUUAACGUUAAACUGCUAUCCCAUUGAAGUAAUAUAGAAGUUUCUCUGGGGUUAAUACCAUCUUUCUAUCCCUGUGGCGUGAAACACAGGGGUAGAACCUUUGGUUUCCCCACUUUAAUGUAAUUUCCUUGCAAUACCUUGUAUACUUCAACCAGACAAUUAUAAGGACUUAAUCCCUGGUCUCAUUUUAGACCUAUUUGAGUUAUAAAAUAUUGUGUGAGGCAGGGUUUUGAUAAAUAAAUAUUAAUAACUGUACCACA